GAUGAACGCUGGCGGCGUGCCUAAUACAUGCAAGUCGAGCGAACAGACGAGGAGCUUGCUCCUCUGACGUUAGCGGCGGACGGGUGAGUAACACGUGGAUAACCUACCUAUAAGACUGGGAUAACUUCGGGAAACCGGAGCUAAUACCGGAUAAUAUAUUGAACCGCAUGGUUCAAUAGUGAAAGACGGUUUUGCUGUCACUUAUAGAUGGAUCCGCGCCGCAUUAGCUAGUUGGUAAGGUAACGGCUUACCAAGGCAACGAUGCGUAGCCGACCUGAGAGGGUGAUCAGCCACACUGGAACUGAGACACGGUCCAGACUCCUACGGGAGGCAGCAGUAGGGAAUCUUCCGCAAUGGGCGAAAGCCUGACGGAGCAACACCGCGUGAGUGAUGAAGGUCUUCGGAUCGUAAAACUCUGUUAUUAGGGAAGAACAAAUGUGUAAGUAACUAUGCACGUCUUGACGGUACCUAAUCAGAAAGCCACGGCUAACUACGUG
This 497-nucleotide ribosomal RNA is filed under the name uncultured bacterium. Its description in RNAcentral is "partial 16S ribosomal RNA". It matches the Rfam family "Bacterial small subunit ribosomal RNA", at positions 28 to 507 of the family's 1533-position model. The record is from RNAcentral.